AUUGAACGCUGGCGGCAGGCCCAACACAUGCAAGUCGAACGGUAACAGGAAACAGCUUGCUGUUUCGCUGACGAGUGGCGGACGGGUGAGUAAUGUCUGGGAAACUGCCUGAUGGAGGGGGAUAACUACUGGAAACGGUAGCUAAUACCGCAUAACGUCGCAAGACCAAAGAGGGGGACCUUCGGGCCUCUUGCCAUCGGAUGUGCCCAGAUGGGAUUAGCUAGUAGGUGGGGUAACGGCUCACCUAGGCGACGAUCCCUAGCUGGUCUGAGAGGAUGACCAGCCACACUGGAACUGAGACACGGUCCAGACUCCUACGGGAGGCAGCAGUGGGGAAUAUUGCACAAUGGGCGCAAGCCUGAUGCAGCCAUGCCGCGUGUAUGAAGAAGGCCUUCGGGUUGUAAAGUACUUUCAGCGGGGAGGAAGGGAGUAAAGUUAAUACCUUUACUCAUUGACGUUACCCGCAGAAGAAGCACCGGCUAACUCCGUG
RNAcentral lists this ribosomal RNA (490 nucleotides) under uncultured bacterium. Its description in RNAcentral is "partial 16S ribosomal RNA". It matches the Rfam family "Bacterial small subunit ribosomal RNA", at positions 30 to 507 of the family's 1533-position model. The record is from RNAcentral.